GUCACCUAGGGACGCAGCAGUGGGGAAUAUUGGUCAAUGGUCGGGAGACUGAACCAGCCAAGCCGCGUGAGGGAUGAAGGUACAGAGUAUCGUAAACCUCUUUUGUCAGGGAACAAAGGCGGGGACGUGUCCCCGGAUGAGUGUACCUGAAGAAAAAGCAUCGGCUAACUCCGUGCCAGCAGCCGCGGUAAUACGGAGGAUGCGAGCGUUAUCCGGAUUUAUUGGGUUUAAAGGGUGCGCAGGCGGUCUGUUAAGUCAGCGGUCAAACCCCGGGGCUCAACCCCGGCCCGCCGCUGAAACCGUCG
RNAcentral lists this ribosomal RNA (305 nucleotides) under uncultured bacterium. RNAcentral describes it as "bacterial SSU rRNA". It matches the Rfam family "Bacterial small subunit ribosomal RNA", at positions 334 to 638 of the family's 1533-position model. The record is from RNAcentral.